CCUCGUCUCGCCGGAGGGACUGGCAAGUAGAGCCAGAGCGAGCGCCUUGGGCAGCCCGGGUCCCUAGACACCACGGCCUGCCCGGCAUGGAGGGCGAAUGCCGGGUACUCUCCAUCCAGAGCCAUGUGGUCCGCUGCUACGUGGGCAACCGGGCCGCCAUGUUCCCGCUGCAGGUUUUGGGAUUUGAGGUUGAUGCUGUGAACUCUGUGCAGUUUUCCAACCACACAGGCUACGCCCAUUGGAAGGGCCAAGUGCUGAAUUCACAGGAACUCCAUGAACUGUAUGAAGGUCUCAAGAUAAAUGAUGCGAAUAAGUACGACUACGUGCUCACUGGUUACACAAGAGACAAGUCCUUCCUGGCCAUGGUGGUGGACAUCGUACGGGAGCUGAAGCAGCAGAACCCCCAGAUAGUGUACGUGUGUGAUCCCGUGAUGGGCGACAAGUGGAACGGCGAAGGUUCCAUGCCAGCAGGAGUUCAUCUGCAUAGGACCUCGGACCUCCAGGGAAAUGCCUCAGCAACUGGAUGGGGAGAGAUUAGAACCCUGGACCACUCACCAGUGCUGCAAAGCAUCAUGGGAACAGACCGUUUUUUCAGAGCUUCAUGUGGGAUCUGGAUGUCAGGAACUAGACAUGGUAUUGGGUGUCUGUAAUCCUAGUUAUUUGGAAGGCUGAGGUGGGAUGAUUGCAAGUUUGAGGCUAGCCUUAAUCCCACAAAAGACCACCAUCCACGUAUGCAGUCAACGAGAGCAUUCUUUAAUCCAGCAUGCUGGAACCGACCAUCCUACACAAAGGCAAAAUGGCAAUGACCUUGAGAGGAGCUCGCAGGCUCCUUUUAAGCACAGUCAGUGAGACGGACGUCCUAGGGCAGUCCUAGGUCCUUGGCUUAAGCAAGUAGCAAUCAUAUUAGUAUGUUCUAAUUGACUAUGGCUGGCAGGGGCUGGUUAAGGCUACAGCUUUUCUAUUUUGGGGCAGGCCUGGACAAGUCCCAGGCUUUGACCUUAUUUGGUUAUUACCUUGAGCUAUUGACUUGUGAUUCAGGCCUGGCCUGGUUGUUGGGGUGCUGGAGACUGCUUGUCCUUUGUUCAUGGCUCUCUCAGAAACUGCUUGUCCAGUCUCAGGAACCUGAUAUUGAGGCCUGAUCUCUGAGAGAAGACUGAGCAUCCUGUAAUGGCAUCUGCUCAGUCCUCUCAAAGGCAUAGAUCAUCCUUGCUUAACAGGCAUGAGGCCCCGAGUGCAUCACUAACAUGGAGAUAAUAAACAAAAGCUAAAGAUUGGUCUAAGCUGUCCUUGGUGAAGGUGGUCCAGAGCAAAAAGGACAUCGAGGACCCCAAGAUUGUGGUGCAGGCCAUGGUGCUGUGAGGGCCGUGCAUUCGCCCCAACACACCGAGUGCCGGGGUCUCUGUUUUCAUCCCUGUGAAAGCUGUAACGUCUGCCUUAGAGCCAUGACUGACACUUGACAUUUUAUUCCUUCCUGAGGGUCGGGUCUCAUCCGGUCUCAAUGGUGAAAAUGUACCAUCAUGUUUUUAAAAUAAUAAUAAUAAUAAUAAUAAUAAUAAUAAUAAUAAUAAUAACAAAAGCCGUUGCAGAAAUAUGUGACUCAGAAACAUGGCCCCUUCUCCUCCCAGGCUCUGGGCCUGCUGACUGUAUCUUGUUGACUCAUAGGUGUGUGGGAGGUAGGUGGAGUAGGCAAGCCUGCUGCCUGUGGACCCUUCUGUUGGUCACAGGCUGCCAUUGCCUCCAGAUUCCUGAUUGUGAUGGGACUAGGUCUGUGGUGGCAUUGUUUUUAAAUUGGGUUAAGUCUUUUUCUUGGGGGGGGCAGUUCAAGACAGGGUUUCUCUGUGUAGUUUUGGUGCCUGUCCUGAAUCUCACUCUGUAGACCAGGCUGGCCUCAAACUCACAGAGAUCCGCCUGCCUCUGCCUCCUGAGUGCUGGAGACUGCCCUCCAGGUUAAGUCUUAACCAUUGGCAUCUGGAAGAACUAUGCAAAAUAUCUUCAUUGCCAUUCUGGUCUUACCCUUGUUCCUGCAUCAGAGCUUGGGUAGGCACACAAGCAUGUAGUCACUGUGACAGGGACCCUUUAAGGGCCCGGAACAUUCCAGGGGAUCUGCAAGCCUUCUGGGUGUCUGCAGGAUCUCCUAUAACUUGGGAGCAACUUCUGGGAAACUGACCAACCUAGGGGGCGGCUGCUGAGCCUAAGGUGGCUUGGGAAGUUCAGGGAAGAUGCCACACUGGGUCCUUGUGGGAGCUCACCCAGCGCUGUGGUCCUCAGUUGGCACUGCACUUGCCAUGUGAUGCUGGGGACAGCACAUUGCUGCAGCUGUGUUUGCACAGACAGAAGGAGAGGCGGCUGUGGCACGAGCCCCCUGGUGGCAUACUUAACUGUGGGCUCCUCCUUCCAUUUCUGUAUUCUGUGCCCAGCACUCACUGAGGGGCAAGAGGCCCUCAUGUGAAGCCAGCUCGCACUCUGCCUCCUUGGAAGUCCUGCUCCUAGAGGGAGCGUAUGGGCACUGUGGGUGCAGGGCAUCCCUUAGACCCUUGCAGGAGACUGUGACAAGUUCCAUUUCCAUUGCUCAAGUGUGGCUUUCCCGACUGUACAUCUUGGAAUUUGGGGUCCCUGAGUCCUAGCUGUGAGUGGGGCUGUCCAUUUUGAUUGACCUUUAUCUCAGCAUCCACCCAUUUCCCUAUACCUCAGUUCUUAAGAUUUGCCUCUUCUGAGAAGCCACAGCCUAAGGAGCAAUGGGAGAUUGGGAGAGGUGGGGACUACAUUGUGAUUCCCCAGGGGCAUAGGUUCUCCAGGGGUGCCUGGCUGCCACCCAUAGGUGAACCUCAGAGGGCCACACCCUACCUUAACAUAGUCCAGUGUUCCCCUUCCCCAGUUAAAAUGCCCUAGAUGGAGGAGACACCGGUCCACGUGGACUUGCACCAGUCCAACUCCGCUCCCCCACCAGCCUGCACCCUGACUUCUCUCCUUUCUGGUCUCAGGCUGCAGGAUGGCGGAGCAGGGAAAGCUGCCUGUUGCCAAGGCUGACAACCUGAGGGACCCACAUGGUGGAAGCAGACAACUGAUUCUUCUCACUGUGGGCAGUUAGUUCCUGGUCUUUCUGCGACAGGAUGCACAUUCCAGGUGAAGGUCUCCCUAAGCCAUGGGGACCCCACCCUGCCCCUGUCAGCUCUUAAAUAGAUAGCUAGGGCUGCCCCACCCUGAGGCUUUAGGUGGGUGUUAACAGGGGAGAGCCUGCCACUCAGACCUCCAUGCUCGGAAGCUCCCAGAAGGCCUUAGGGUGUAACCAUGGCCAUGCCUCACUGCCCAUCCUAUAGAGCCAGCAGAGAUGUGUAAAACCAUGGCCGCACCUCACUGCCUUACAGGGCGAGGUAGUCCCCCAUGAAGGCAAGUGGAGGAGCCUUCACCCUUAGUGUCACCUGGGCCAGUACCAUGGAAGUGUCUGAGCUACAUUCUCACAGAGGUCCUGACUCCUGCCUGACAUGAGGAGAGCAUGCUCUGGGGUGACAGGACAAGUUGAAGACCCCCAGGCUUAGUACAUCUGUCCUGUGUCCCACAGAGCAGGAAGGCAGAAGCCUGAUUCCUUCAAACUCAGACCUGAUCGGUUCCCACAAAACACCUAAGAUCACUUUCUGGAUGAUGGGAGAGUGAGUCAGUAUUUUUGGAAAUGGUGGUGGAUUCUUCAUGAACAUAGCUCUUGAAGGAUGAGACAUGGGUGACUUCCUGAGUGCUCUUAGCUUCAUAGCUGCCUAAUUCCCAAUAUAGACCUUGUCUCUCUCUAUAUAUACAUAUAACAAGAUUUCCUGAAAUUCCUGUCAGAAUUUCACCCAUGUGAUGCAAACCUAGACCAAUCAGAAGACGGGCUGCAUCUCUGGGCCCGCCCCCGACCUACUAUUCCUUCUCAGAGACCACAACUUUUUGGCAGCUCCUAGCCUUUAGAGCAAAGCACAAGGCUGGCCCACAGUCCCUGUGUGCAGGAGGGGCUUGUGGUGGUAUUGUGUUCCCCAAAAUAUUGUGCACCCUAAUAAACUUAUCUGGGGUCAGAGAACAGAACAGCCACUAGAUACAGAGGGUAGAAAAUGGUGGCACUCACACUUUUAAUCCUAGCAUUCCAGAGGCAGAGAUCUACCUGGAUCUCUGUGUGUUCAAGGAUACAGCCAAGCAUGGUGACUCACACCUUUAAUCCCAGAAAGUGAGCCUUUAAUCCCAGGGAGUGAUUGCAGAAAGCAGAAAAAUAUAUAAGGCGUGAGGACCAGAAACUAGAAGCUUUUAGCUGCUUAAGCUUUUAGGCUUUUGAGCAGCGGUUCAGCUGAGGCCUAUCUGGAUGAGGACUCAGGGGCUUCCAGCCCGAGGAAACAGGAUCAGCUGAGGAAUUGGCGAGGUGAGGAAGCUGUGGCCUGUUCUGUCUCUCUCUGAUCUUCCAGUAUUCACCCCAAUACCUGGCUCCGGGUUUGCUCUUAUUAAUAAGACCAUUUAAAAUUCGUGCUACAGGGGCUUGCUCUGGGCUCAGGUGGUCUCCAGCCCAAGUCCCCCAGCCCUGUGUACUGUCCCCUGUCAGUGCAUUUGUAGACAUGAGCACCUGUCAGCACUCUGUGGGACAUCUAUAUAAAUCCAACUCCACUAAUCUCUCUUUUCUCUGAUGCCCUCCUCAGAACCACCCCUGACCUACCUCAAAUAUUAAAAAAAAGUAAAGACUUUUCAGAGUGCCUCCUAUUGACCUGAACUCUCUUCUUGAAAUGUUUCAUUCACGUUAGGCAGUGGUAGGGCAAACCUUUAAUCCCAGCACACAGGAGGCAGAGGCAGGUGAAUCUCUGUGAGUUCGAGGCCAGACUUAAUUGUACAUGGGGCCAUGUUCCAGCCCUAGAAAGCAACAGAAUUUGGUAGAUUUCGCCAUAUAGCUGUGGCUUUAUAGUCAAGGAUAGAAGGAAGGGGUAUGGAAUCUCUCUCUGCAGCUAAGGAAAGCCUCUGAGGCCAGGCAUGCAUGUCUCAGGGGUGUCCUUGAAUGGAGGCCUAGAGAGGCCAUUGUAUGAAGCUGUUAAGGAGAAGCCUGAGUUGCCUUGGAGACCCCAAGAUAUUGGAGAUGCCAGGGUCAUGGGAUGCCUGUCAAGGAAAGCAGCUAACAGGGAGCAGAAGCAGUCCAAGAGAGAGAGAAGUGUGUUGCAGUCAACAGAGCCCGAAGGAGUUGGAGAGCUGAAGAGCGUUUUUUGACAUCAGACAUAGAGAUGCAGAGUUUGGAGCUUGCCCAGCUGGUUUUCAGUCUUACGUUGGUCCAGUAAUUUCUCACUAUGCUCCCGUUCUUCCAUUUUUGGAAUGGUAAUGUAUACCCUGUGCCAUUAUAUGUUGGAAGUCUGUGAUUGGCUUUUUGAUUUAAAAUUUACAGGGGAUUAUAGUUAAGAGAUGGCAUGAAUCUUAGAAGAGACUUUGAAAUUUAGUCUUUUAAAUAAGUUUGAGACUGUUAUAGAUUAUGUGGACUUUUGAAGUUGGGCUGAAUGCAUUUUUGCAUUACGAUAUGGCUACAAGCCUUUGGGGACCAGGGGGGUUGAUAGUGCUCUUAAGCAAGACAUCCAAGGCUGUCCUCUGUCCUUUACAUGCAUGUGCACAUGUGCACGAGUACCCCCUGCACACACUGAAGACAUGAAUUAAAAAUAAGAGAGGCAGGUGAUUCAUGACUUUGAUCCAAGCACUCAGGAGGCAGGUGGAUCUCUGUGAGCUUGAGACUACCCUGGUCUGCAUAGUGAGUUCCAGGACAGUCAGAGCUGUAUAGAGAGACCCUGUCUCAAACAGACAGACAGACAGACAGACAGACAGACAAGUGAAUAAAUAAAUAAAAGAGGCAUGCAAUUGUUUACAGGGUCUCAGCCAUGCGGCCUGCCACCUUUUCCAAGUUAAAACUUCCCCCAUUCCUCUUUAGUUAGGAUUUUAUUGCUGUGCCAAAACACCAUGAGCAAAAGUAACUUGGGGAGGAGAGGGUUUAAUUUGGCUUACUGUUCCACAUCAUUGUUGUCACUGAGGGAAGUCAGAGCAGGCACUCACACAGGGCAGGAACCUGGAGGCAGGAGCUGAUGCAGAGGCCAUGGAGGGGUGCUGCUUACUGGCUUGCUCAGCCUGCUUUCUUAUAGAAUCCUGGACCACCCGCCCAGGGGUAAUCCUAUCUGCAAUGGGCUGGGCCCUCUCCCAUCAAUCACUAGUUUAGAAAAUGCAUUAUAGACUUACUUAUAGAGCAAUCUUUUUGGUUUUUAUUUUAUUUUUUUAAAUCAAACUAUAAUAAAAUUGUCCCUAAGCUUCUAAAAGAAAAGGAAGGAAGGACGGAAGGAAGGACGGACGGAAGGAAGGAAGGAAGGAAGGAAGGAAGGAAGGAAGGAAGGAAGGAAGGAAGGAAGGGAAUAGUUCAUUCUGAGCCAAAUAUGAAUGCUCAUGGUCCAGGAUCAUGUUUCAAGUUACUCUUAAUGACAUGUUUGCCCUCCAUGGAGAAGGGUCCAUGAACCUUGAUAGUCACAGAAAAGGAAGUCAUGAACCUGUUAGUGGUGAAAUAUGUCUGUGACCACAUUUGAGAGACAGAGGCAAAAGGAUCACUAUGAGUUCCAACCCAGGCUACAUAGCAAAAUCCUAUUUUAAAAAAAUUAAAAGCAGGACUGAGUGGCAUAUGUGAGUCCUAGAUUCAAUUCCUACAAUCACCAAAACAAACUUUGAGCCAGGCGUUAUGGGGCAAGCCUGUUCUCCUAGUACUUGUAAAACAGAGGCAGGAGGAUCACCUCAAGCUUGAACCUAGCCUGCUCUGCCCUUGAAGCUCCAGGCCAGCCAGGGCUAUACAGAGAAACUCUGUGUUAAACAAAAACUGUAAUGAAAGGAUAAACUCCAAGAGCUGGCCUGUCAGACUUAAUCAGAAUAACACCACGUGGGAGCUGAGUCAGAGGAACUCCCAGGCUGCAGGAAUGGCUGGUUCCUCCUUGCCCCAGCAGGGCAGCAGACCAGCACAGGCAGAAAGCUGCUGCCCAGGUGUGCAAAGGCUAAAGGAAGCCAAACUGUCCUGCUGGAGGGGCCAACCCUUCACCCGGGCUGGAGGGGUCUGAGGUGUGCCCCAGCAGCUGGGGUGGCCUGAUACCCCAUCUGUGCCAAACUGAGUUGGCUCUCGGACUUGGAAACCCACCAGGGGUCACAGGCACCUCCUUAUCCUCAGGGAUGCAGGUCCUGGGGAGGGGGCUGAGACCCAUCUCUGGUGCUGUGCCCUGUGCUGUGGUGUGUGCAUGGCCCCUGAAGCUUCCUCCUUCUCCCUCCACCUCCUCUGUUCAUCACUUCCUUUCGUUCUCUGAUGUUUUAAUUGAACCCCCACCCCCACCCCGACUUUUCUCUCAGGAGUUCUGGUUCUGCAGGCUGCUGGGCACUGGACCCCAGCAGGAUGAAGGCAGGAAUGUGUCCUGGGCAGGGCAUCCUCACAGACAGGGGACAGCAUGAGACAUGAGGAAAGCUCUGAAUGGCACUUACAUGGCUGUUCCCUGGAUGGAUUCCAGGGGUGGAAUGAGGGGGUUCUCAGUCAAGGAGGCCUUGUACUUCAGAGCUAAAACUGGGAAUGCCAUAGAGGUCAGAGGACAAUUUGUGGAGUUGAUUCUCUCCUUUCCACUAAGUGGGUUCUGGGGAUUGAACUCAGGUGAUCAGGUUUAACUGCAAGGACCUUUACCCACUGAUUUACCCUCCUGGACUUGUUUUGUGAGUUAGGAUCUCCCUAUGUAGCCAGUGCUGAUCUCCAAUUAAUGAUUCUCAACCUGGCAGUGGUGGUGCAUACCUUUAAUCCUAGCAUUCAGGAGGCAGAGGCAGGCAGACCUGUGACUUGGAGGCUAGCCUGGUCUACAGAGCAAGUUCUAGGACAGCCAGGGCUACACAGAGAAACCCUGUCUAGCAAAUUAACAACAACAGCAACAAAAGACUCUCCUGAUGAGAAUUAUAGGUAUGUGCCUGCACGACCAGCAAAUACAUAUUAUUACUAUUAGUUAUUAUUAUUUUGAGACAAGGUGUCCAAGUGUAUCCCUGGCUGGCUUGGAACUUAGUAGGUAGACCAGGCUGGCCUCAAAGCCACAGAGAUCUGCUUGCCAUUGCCUCCUAGGUACUGGGAUUAAAGAUGUAUGUGCCUGGCAAAUAUAUAAUUUUUUAAUAAUGGGCUUUGGAUUACAUAUAAGGCGUCAACUAUCAACCAGAAAGCAGUUCCUGAUCAGAUUCAUCUUGUGCAACUGCCUUAGAGAGGAAAUUGCAUGCUGGGAAGACAUGAGUGACAUACCAUUUUCCCCCAAAGUUAUCACGGCCACUUUGCUGUGGUGCAAUCAAUACUGCCCACCCUCUGGAAGGGACAGCUGAAGUAGGACGGCCAUCUGGUCACUUCUGGUUGAAUACCUCUUCAACUUUUGUUCCUGAGACCCUAGGCUCAGACAUAACAAAGGGAUUGCAAGAUUGAUGGACUGAAGCAUUAGUCAUCAGGCGAUGAGUAACUCCAGGAAGAACUGAAGCAAUUUUUAGCUUGGGUUCAGAAAGGCAGCGAGUUCUAAGAACAAAAGGCGUGUUCUGAGCCUGGGAGGAACGCCAGCGCUGUCCAUCAAGGCCCAGGUGGUCCAGCCCCUGCUCCAUCCUCCAUCCUGCAGAAGUCAGGGACCCAGCAUGAUUGGCUUCCUCGGGGGAAACUUGUCACUGUGGAGAGGACAGAUGCCUGCAUUUUCCAGACCGGGACAUGGCAAUAGUUUCCAGAGAGGUCGAUUUUUAUAGACACCAAGUCAACAGUAAAGACAGAACUGAGGAUAAAAAC
Peromyscus californicus insignis is the source of this 8788-nucleotide RNA transcript. It is a transcript of the gene named pyridoxal kinase-like, with no coding region annotated. NCBI's taxonomy places the organism in Eukaryota, Metazoa, Chordata, Mammalia, Rodentia, Cricetidae. The transcript has 8 exons. The record is from RefSeq and is a predicted model, not a curated record.